RNAcentral lists this ribosomal RNA (459 nucleotides) under uncultured bacterium. RNAcentral's name for it is "partial 16S ribosomal RNA". It matches the Rfam family "Bacterial small subunit ribosomal RNA", at positions 338 to 795 of the family's 1533-position model. The record is from RNAcentral.
CCUACGGGAGACUGCAGUGAGGAAUAUUGGUCAAUGGUCGGGAGACUGAACCAGCCAAGCCGCGUGAGGGAUGAAGGUACAGAGUAUCGUAAACCUCUUUUGUCAGGGAACAAAGGCGGGGACGUGUCCCCGGAUGAGUGUACCUGAAGAAAAAGCAUCGGCUAACUCCGUGCCAGCAGCCGCGGUAAUACGGAGGAUGCGAGCGUUAUCCGGAUUUAUUGGGUUUAAAGGGUGCGCAGGCGGUCUGUUAAGUCAGCGGUCAAAGCCCGGGGCUCAACCCCGGCCCGCCGUUGAAACUGGCAGUCGCGAGUUGGAGAGAAGUAUGCGGAAUGCGCGGUGUAGCGGUGAAAUGCAUAGAUAUCGCGCAGAACUCCGAUUGCGAAGGCAGCAUGCCGGCUCCACACUGACGCUGAGGCACGAAAGCGUGGGUAUCGAACAGGAUUAGAUACCCUUGUAGUC